Molecule: ribosomal RNA, 612 nt
Filed under: Alcaligenes sp.
Lineage: Bacteria; Pseudomonadati; Pseudomonadota; Betaproteobacteria; Burkholderiales; Alcaligenaceae
Description: bacterial SSU rRNA
Rfam family: Bacterial small subunit ribosomal RNA
Source: RNAcentral
GGAUAACUACUCGAAAGAGUGGCUAAUACCGCAUACGCCCUACGGGGGAAAGGGGGGGAUCGCAAGACCUCUCACUAUUGGAGCGGCCGAUAUCGGAUUAGCUAGUUGGUGGGGUAAAGGCUCACCAAGGCAACGAUCCGUAGCUGGUUUGAGAGGACGACCAGCCACACUGGGACUGAGACACGGCCCAGACUCCUACGGGAGGCAGCAGUGGGGAAUUUUGGACAAUGGGGGAAACCCUGAUCCAGCCAUCCCGCGUGUAUGAUGAAGGCCUUCGGGUUGUAAAGUACUUUUGGCAGAGAAGAAAAGGUAUCUCCUAAUACGAGAUACUGCUGACGGUAUCUGCAGAAUAAGCACCGGCUAACUACGUGCCAGCAGCCGCGGUAAUACGUAGGGUGCAAGCGUUAAUCGGAAUUACUGGGCGUAAAGCGUGUGUAGGCGGUUCGGAAAGAAAGAUGUGAAAUCCCAGGGCUCAACCUUGGAACUGCAUUUUUAACUGCCGAGCUAGAGUAUGUCAGAGGGGGGUAGAAUUCCACGUGUAGCAGUGAAAUGCGUAGAUAUGUGGAGGAAUACCGAUGGCGAAGGCAGCCCCCUGGGAUAAUACUGACGCUC